This is a long non-coding RNA of Nematostella vectensis (starlet sea anemone), 1203 nucleotides long. RefSeq lists it as uncharacterized. Lineage: Eukaryota; Metazoa; Cnidaria; Anthozoa; Actiniaria; Edwardsiidae. The record is from RefSeq and is a predicted model, not a curated record. The transcript has 2 exons.
UGAUGCUGUGAAGGGGAAAAAAGGUUAGGCCCUUUUAAUAAUAAUAGGUGGAAAGAGUGGAUGCAAGGAAGUUUUUAUGUUUGUUUUUGUGUUCAGGGACGUUACUUCAUAAUAGGGACCUUAAGAUCCAGGUUUUUCGCGAUUUAAGGCUGACCGCAAACCUCAAGCGGUCACGUGACAAGGGCUUGCCGUCGCGUUUGCCGUUCGAAGUUCACGUUUUGUAAGGCUGGGACCCCUACUAGAAGUCUUUCACAUCCCACUCUCUCAUCAUGUCAUCCCACAUGAGGGGUAUCAGCCCUUUGCUUUUGACAUGCUGUAAGACUUGGCUCAUGUGAUGUACAAACAACUGUGUCCUGUUCCGUGAAUCAGCCCGACACUGAUUACAGGUUUUUAAAUUCCAUACCUAGACAACAAAAUGAGAUGCAGUGUGAAUGAAACUCUUUGAUUCCUUUCACUAUUUCUUUGGUCUCUCAGGGAUGAAGCAGGGGGUGGGGUGGUCUGCUACGUAUUCUCUAGGAUAAGAAAUUGCUCCCAGAACUUUAUAAUGUAUGCUGUACAAAACACUAUUAUAAAUUAGAAAACAAAUCAGUCAAAUUAACCAAUUGACCCCUCAACUGGCCUGUACCGGCAGUAUACACAACGCACAAGCCAAAAAAUGCAAAAUAAAGCCAAAUCUUCAGCCGAAUUAUAGCUCAGGUUCUAAGACAAAUUUCAAAUCUAACGAGGAAAACCUCAAAAUACACACAAAAGUCAGCAAAACUACUCUGUUUUCACAGAGGUGUAAAACACACCAUUUCAACUUGUGAUGAUUUACUUUCCUGAUUUAACCAGUCCUGUGCAGACCACCUAGUUAGUCUACUGCUUAUCUGUAGUCAUUCGAGUCAUGCCACUUUUGACAGUCAUGCAUUUACUAAUUGAAUCAUAAAAAUAUUAAAGAGCAUUCUAAUACCUCAUCUCCACCCACAUGAAACCACUUAAGAUCAGGAUGCAUCUCAAGAACUUGGUCUAUCAUCUUCUUAAUUAAAGGCACAGAAUCUGACAAAGAAAAAACACUUAUUUAGCAAAUGAACAAUGUUUUACUCUAUCAAUUACAAUAACAGGUUUAAUGGUAACUUACCUUUGUUAAUAGGACAAACUGAGUUUGUGAACUCUAUGGUCUCCCUCAAAUGAGCAAAUUGCUGAUGCUUCAACACAAACUAAGCA